RNAcentral lists this ribosomal RNA (497 nucleotides) under uncultured bacterium. RNAcentral's name for it is "partial 16S ribosomal RNA". It matches the Rfam family "Bacterial small subunit ribosomal RNA", at positions 28 to 507 of the family's 1533-position model. The record is from RNAcentral.
GAUGAACGCUGGCGGCGUGCCUAAUACAUGCAAGUCGAGCGAACAGACGAGGAGCUUGCUCCUUUGACGUUAGCGGCGGACGGGUGAGUAACACGUGGAUAACCUACCUAUAAGAUUGGGAUAACUUCGGGAAACCGGAGCUAAUACCGGAUAACAUGUUGAACCGCAUGGUUCAACAGUGAAAGACGGUCUUGCUGUCACUUAUAGAUGGAUCCGCGCCGCAUUAGCUAGUUGGUAAGGUAACGGCUUACCAAGGCAACGAUGCGUAGCCGACCUGAGAGGGUGAUCGGCCACACUGGAACUGAGACACGGUCCAGACUCCUACGGGAGGCAGCAGUAGGGAAUCUUCCGCAAUGGGCGAAAGCCUGACGGAGCAACGCCGCGUGAGUGAAGAAGGUCUUCGGAUCGUAAAACUCUGUUAUUAGGGAAGAACAAAUGUGUAAGUAACUAUGCACGUCUUGACGGUACCUAAUCAGAAAGCCACGGCUAACUACGUG